RNAcentral lists this unclassified non-coding RNA (330 nucleotides) under soil metagenome. RNAcentral's name for it is "partial contains 5.8S ribosomal RNA, internal transcribed spacer 2, and large subunit ribosomal RNA". The stretch from base 1 to 120 matches the Rfam family "5.8S ribosomal RNA", at positions 35 to 154 of the family's 154-position model. The record is from RNAcentral.
GAUGAAGAACGUAGCGAAACGCGAUAGGUAAUGUGAAUUGCAGAAUCUAGUGAAUCAUCGAAUCUUUGAACGCACAUUGCGCCUUUUGGUAUUCCGGAAGGCAUGUCUGUUUGAGCGUGAGUGAAAAACAUCAAGCCAUUGGUUUGUAACUAUGGGCGUGCCCCCUGCGGUCUCGCCUUAAUGUGUAUUGGGCGCGGUUAGCACCGCUAGCGAAGUAGUAAUGCUAUUCUUUGCAAAAGUGCUGGUCUGCCCCACCAACCCCACCUAGUGUUUUCACCUCAGAUCAGACAAGGAUACCCGCUGAACUUAAGCAUAUCAAUAAGCGGAGGA